RNAcentral lists this ribosomal RNA (810 nucleotides) under uncultured bacterium. RNAcentral's name for it is "bacterial SSU rRNA". It matches the Rfam family "Bacterial small subunit ribosomal RNA", at positions 8 to 796 of the family's 1533-position model. The record is from RNAcentral.
AGAGUUUGAUCCUGGCUCAGAAUGAACGCUGGCGGCGUGCUUAACACAUGCAAGUCGAACGUGAUCCGGAGCUUGCUCCGGUGAAAGUGGCGCACGGGUGAGUAACGCGUGGAUAAUCUGCCCUGGUAUCUGGGAUAACAUCUCGAAAGGGGUGCUAAUACCGGAUAAGCCUACGGGAUCCUCGGAUUCUGCAGGAAAAGGUGGCCUCUAUUUAUAAGCUACCGUAUCAGGAUGAGUCCGCGUACCAUUAGCUAGUUGGUGGGGUAAUGGCCACCAAGGCUACGAUGGUUAGCUGGUCUGAGAGGAUGAUCAGCCACACUGGAACUGAGACACGGUCCAGACUCCUACGGGAGGCAGCAGUGGGGAAUUUUGCGCAAUGGGGGCAACCCUGACGCAGCAACGCCGCGUGAGUGAAGAAGGCCUUUGGGUCGUAAAGCUCUGUCAAUCGGGAAGAAGUUAUGGGAGUCGAAUAGGCUUUCAUAUUGACGGUACCGGUGAAGGAAGCAUCGGCUAACUCCGUGCCAGCAGCCGCGGUAAUACGGGGGAUGCAAGCGUUAUUCGGAAUUAUUGGGCGUAAAGGGCGCGUAGGCGGUUUUGUCGGUCAGAUGUGAAAGCCCAGGGCUCAACCCUGGACGUGCAUUUGAAACAGCAAGACUUGAGUACGGGAGAGGAAAGCGGAAUUCCUGGUGUAGAGGUGAAAUUCGUAGAUAUCAGGAGGAACACCGAUGGCGAAGGCAGCUUUCUGGACCGAUACUGACGCUGAGGCGCGAAGGCGUGGGUAGCGAACAGGAUUAGAUACCCUGGUAGUCC